Long non-coding RNA from Panicum hallii, 648 nucleotides. RefSeq lists it as uncharacterized. The record is from RefSeq and is a predicted model, not a curated record. The transcript has 2 exons. NCBI's taxonomy places the organism in Eukaryota, Viridiplantae, Streptophyta, Magnoliopsida, Poales, Poaceae.
AUUUCUCCAGCUUCGCGCGCAGCGUCGGGGAGAGGGUGCCGCCGGUGCCGCUGCUCAGGGGGAAGUUGGUGCGCGCCGCCGGCCCGCUCAUCAGCCGCGCCGCCUCGUCGUACGCCCGCGCCGCGUCCUCCGCCGUCUCGGUUCUAUCAAAGUGUAAGAAUUAACUUUCACUUCAUAAAUAAAGAAGUGCAAGAGCUUUACAGGAGUGGGUGGCGGAUCUCGGAGACCCAGGAGCCCCAGUGCCUCUGCCUCACUCCUCUGAACCUCUGCAGCUUCGGCAUGGCGACGGUUGCUCCUGUCUCACACCAGUGCCCGAUCGAUACCUCUGGUGGUGGGCACACUUCCACUUGAUAGCAAGAGAUGCCUCAGGUGCCGGGCGCUUAUAUACUGCUCCCAAGGGGGAGGGCUGCACAUGCUAUCCCGCCGUAGCAUCCAUCUGCUUGCAGCCCUCCCCCCUGUUCGAGAUCCAUGCUGAGGCCGCGAGAUAUGCUCGGCUUAGUGUCGCGGUAGCCAUUUGACAUUGGUCAGAUAUGUCGCACUGGAUGUAGAGGUCGGGAUAUGAAUUAUUCCAUUAUUAUCUGAAAUGAGCCUGCACCGGCACUCUUUGGUGCACGCAUAUUGACUGAAAGCAUCUCUAAUGGUUUUGUC